Molecule: ribosomal RNA, 464 nt
Filed under: uncultured bacterium
Lineage: Bacteria
Description: partial 16S ribosomal RNA
Rfam family: Bacterial small subunit ribosomal RNA
Source: RNAcentral
GAACGCUGGCGGCGUGCUUAACACAUGCAAGUCGAACGAUGAAGCCCAGCUUGCUGGGUGGAUUAGUGGCGAACGGGUGAGUAACACGUGAGCAACCUGCCCCUGACUCUGGGAUAAGCGCUGGAAACGGCGUCUAAUACUGGAUAUGUCCCGUCACCGCAUGGUGUGCGGGUGGAAAGAUUUUUCGGUUGGGGAUGGGCUCGCGGCCUAUCAGCUUGUUGGUGAGGUAAUGGCUCACCAAGGCGUCGACGGGUAGCCGGCCUGAGAGGGUGACCGGCCACACUGGGACUGAGACACGGCCCAGACUCCUACGGGAGGCAGCAGUGGGGAAUAUUGCACAAUGGGCGGAAGCCUGAUGCAGCAACGCCGCGUGAGGGAUGACGGCCUUCGGGUUGUAAACCUCUUUUAGCAGGGAAGAAGCGAAAGUGACGGUACCUGCAGAAAAAGCACCGGCUAACUACGUG